GUGGGGAAUCUUAGACAAUGGGGGAAACCCUGAUCUAGCCAUGCCGCGUGAUCGAUGAAGGCCUUAGGGUUGUAAAGAUCUUUCAGCUGGGAAGAUAAUGACUGUACCAGCAGAAGAAGCCCCGGCUAACUCCGUGCCAGCAGCCGCGGUAAUACGGAGGGGGCUAGCGUUGUUCGGAAUUACUGGGCGUAAAGCGCACGUAGGCGGACCAGAAAGUCAGGGGUGAAAUCACGGGGCUCAACCCCGGAACUGCCUUUGAAACUCCUGAUCUUGAGGUCGAGAGAGGUGAGUGGAAUUCCGAGUGUAGAGGUGAAAUUCGUAGAUAUUCGGAGGAACACCAGUGGCGAAGGCGGCUCACUGGCUCGAUACUGACGCUGAGGUGCGAAAGCGUGGGGAGCAAACAGGAUUAGAUACCCCGGUAGUCC
This 425-nucleotide ribosomal RNA is filed under the name uncultured bacterium. RNAcentral describes it as "partial 16S ribosomal RNA". It matches the Rfam family "Bacterial small subunit ribosomal RNA", at positions 354 to 796 of the family's 1533-position model. The record is from RNAcentral.